UGCCCCAUGGCUGAGUUGGUUACAGCGUCCGACUGUUACGCAUUCGUUGUCAUCGGAAGGUCGAGAGUUCGAGCCUCUCUGGGGCAG
RNAcentral lists this transfer RNA (87 nucleotides) under Lentinula detonsa. RNAcentral's name for it is "tRNA-Asn". It matches the Rfam family "tRNA". From Rfam's summary of the family: Transfer RNA (tRNA) molecules are approximately 80 nucleotides in length. Their secondary structure includes four short double-helical elements and three loops (D, anti-codon, and T loops). Further hydrogen bonds mediate the characteristic L-shaped molecular structure. tRNAs have two regions of fundamental functional importance: the anti-codon, which is responsible for specific mRNA codon recognition, and the 3' end, to which the tRNAs corresponding amino acid is attached (by aminoacyl-tRNA synthetases). tRNAs cope with the degeneracy of the genetic code in two manners: having more than one tRNA (with a specific anti-codon) for a particular amino acid; and 'wobble' base-pairing, i.e. permitting non-standard base-pairing at the 3rd anti-codon position. Lineage: Eukaryota; Fungi; Basidiomycota; Agaricomycetes; Agaricales; Omphalotaceae. The record is from RNAcentral.